Molecule: ribosomal RNA, 883 nt
Filed under: Acinetobacter nosocomialis
Lineage: Bacteria; Pseudomonadati; Pseudomonadota; Gammaproteobacteria; Moraxellales; Moraxellaceae
Description: bacterial SSU rRNA
Source: RNAcentral
CCUUAGAGUUUGAAUCAUGGCUCAGAUUGAACGCUGGCGGCAGGCUUAACACAUGCAAGUCGAGCGGGGGAAGGUAGCUUGCUMCCGGACCUAGCGGCGGACGGGUGAGUAAUGCUUAGGAAUCUGCCUAUUAGUGGGGGACAACAUCUCGAAAGGGAUGCUAAUACCGCAUACGUCCUACGGGAGAAAGCAGGGGAUCUUCGGACCUUGCGCUAAUAGAUGAGCCUAAGUCGRAUUAGCUAGUUGGUGGGGUAAAGGCCUACCAAGGCGACGAUCUGUAGCGGGUCUGAGAGGAUGAUCCGCCACACUGGGACUGAGACACGGCCCAGACUCCUACGGGAGGCAGCAGUGGGGAAUAUUGGACAAUGGGCGCAAGCCUGAUCCAGCCAUGCCGCGUGUGUGAAGAAGGCCUUAUGGUUGUAAAGCACUUUAAGCGAGGAGGAGGCUACUUUAGAUAAUACCUAGAGAUAGUGGACGUUACUCGCAGAAUAAGCACCGGCUAACUCUGUGCCAGCAGCCGCGGUAAUACAGAGGGUGCAAGCGUUAAUCGGAUUUACUGGGCGUAAAGCGCGCGUAGGCGGCUAAUUAAGUCAAAUGUGAAAUCCCCGAGCUUAACUUGGGAAUUGCAUUCGAUACUGGUUAGCUAGAGUGUGGGAGAGGAUGGUAGAAUUCCAGGUGUAGCGGUGAAAUGCGUAGAGAUCUGGAGGAAUACCGAUGGCGAAGGCAGCCAUCUGGCCUAACACUGACGCUGAGGUGCGAAAGCAUGGGGAGCAAACAGGAUUAGAUACCCUGGUAGUCCAUGCCGUAAACGAUGUCUACUAGCCGUUGGGGCCUUUGAGGCUUUAGUGGCGCAGCUAACGCGAUAAGUAGACCGCYUKGGRRU